UUUAUUGAGAGUUUGAUCCUGGCUCAGGACGAACGCUGGCGGUAUGCUUAACACAUGCAAGUCGAACGAGACGAGAUGGAAUGACCCUUCGGGGGAAUGAAAUCUUAGAAAGUGGCGAACGGGUGAGUAACGCGUGGGUAACCUGCCCUAUGGAAAGGAAUAGCCUCGGGAAACUGGGAGUAAUGCCUUAUAAUACAGUGAAGUCGCAUGGCUUUGCUGUUAAACGCUCCGGUGCCAUAGGAUGGACCCGCGUCCCAUUAGCUAGUUGGUGAGAUAACAGCCCACCAAGGCGACGAUGGGUAACCGGUCUGAGAGGGCGAACGGUCACACUGGAACUGAGACACGGUCCAGACUCCUACGGGAGGCAGCAGUGGGGAAUAUUGCGCAAUGGGGGCAACCCUGACG
This 405-nucleotide ribosomal RNA is filed under the name Acetobacterium wieringae. RNAcentral describes it as "bacterial SSU rRNA". It matches the Rfam family "Bacterial small subunit ribosomal RNA", at positions 1 to 388 of the family's 1533-position model. Lineage: Bacteria; Bacillati; Bacillota; Clostridia; Eubacteriales; Eubacteriaceae. The record is from RNAcentral.